UCUUUCCUGUGAAAUCGGCGUCUAGGUUACCAACUUAUUUACGGUAAUGCCACCGUCCACUCAUAUACGUUGGGCUACACUCUCACCGACGUUGUAGGGGUGACAUUAAAUGUCGUUUUUUCACUCGUGGUUUUUCCAUGCUAUAUAUAACCCUAGAAUCUAAAUAUAUCUUUCUUUAUCUUGCUACCUAUUUUUUGUUAAUACUUUCUACCAUAUCAUCUUUUCUAUCUUUAAAACAAACACGCUUCUCACUAAACUCCAUAUAGAGAAAUUAUUCACGCUCCACCAGAACCCAAAGCCAAAACAAAUAUGCCCCAAAAACAUUCACGUAUAUUGCAUCCAAAAAGGGGAGAGGAAAAAGAAACCUUAACCUAAUUUCUAUUGGUUAUCACUAUACCCUGGGCCCACCACAAACCCAAUAAAAAAACAAAACGAAAUAAAAAGACAAUCUCUCUUCUACUUCCACGAUAAAAUAAAUGUUUCUCUCACCUGUAUUAAAGUUCCUAUAAAAGAUUUCCAUAAAAAUAUAUUUUGGUCCACUACAAUAAAAAAACAUAAAGAGAGAAUCUUGUCUCAAACAAUUGUACUACUACUCAAACAAUUGUGAUUAUUCUUGUCUCAAUAUACUUCUCUACCACUACAAAGCAUAAAAUACCAUCAUAAAAACAAGAACAUGACAAGAAUCACUAGAAACAACAACACUAAAUUCACAACUCUUUCUUUCUAAAAACCUUCAGAAUUAAGAAAGGAAAAUCAUCUUUGACAUUGAGUCAUGAGUGUGCACCCUCACUAGUUAGAUGCCCAAUUCUGCUAAGAGACUCAGCAACAAUCCACACAUUCAUAUACAUAUGCAUGCAUUAAAGUCACACAACAAAAGCUAGACGAACUCACUCUCCAACAGCCCCAAAAGUUUUUCAAAACCAGGCUCUGAUACCAAAUAUAACACCCCGAUUUUUUAGGAAUGUUACGGUGUAAUUUUUUUUUUCAAAAAUUUUCUUAUACAACAUUUUUUUGUUAUAAAACAUUUAUUUCAAACAAUCAAACUUUAUUUGAUUAAAAUGCGAAAGCAUAAAUAUAAAUAUUGUCUGUUCAAAACGAAAAUAUGAAAUAAUUCCUUUUACAAUAAGGAUACCAAUUCUAAAAAAUUUUAAAUAGAAUAAAUCAUCAUCCC
RNAcentral lists this long non-coding RNA (1171 nucleotides) under Vigna radiata. RNAcentral's name for it is "long non-coding RNA (VRAD_LNC012773)". Lineage: Eukaryota; Viridiplantae; Streptophyta; Magnoliopsida; Fabales; Fabaceae. The record is from RNAcentral.